Molecule: ribosomal RNA, 253 nt
Filed under: uncultured bacterium
Lineage: Bacteria
Description: partial 16S ribosomal RNA
Rfam family: Bacterial small subunit ribosomal RNA
Source: RNAcentral
UACAGAGGUGGCAAGCGUUGUUCGGAAUUACUGGGCGUAAAGGGCGCGUAGGCGGUCUUGUAAGUCUCGUGUGAAAUCCCUCGGCUUAACUGAGGAACUGCACGGGAUACUGCUUGACUUGAGUUCGGGAGAGGGAAGCGGAAUUCCGGGUGUAGCGGUGAAAUGCGUAGAUAUCCGGAGGAACACCGGUGGCGAAGGCGGCAUCCUGGACCAAUAUUGACGCUGAGGAGCGAAAGCCAGGGGAGCAAACGGG